UACAGAGGGUGCAAGCGUUGUUCGGAAUUACUGGGCGUAAAGAGCUUGUAGGCGGUUUGUCGCGUCUGCUGUGAAAAUCCGGGGCUCAACCCCGGACUUGCAGUGGGUACGGGCAGACUAGAGUGUGGUAGGGGAGACUGGAAUUCCUGGUGUAGCGGUGGAAUGCGCAGAUAUCAGGAGGAACACCGAUGGCGAAGGCAGGUCUCUGGGCCACUACUGACGCUGAGAAGCGAAAGCAUGGGGAGCGAACAGG
This 253-nucleotide ribosomal RNA is filed under the name uncultured bacterium. RNAcentral's name for it is "partial 16S ribosomal RNA". It matches the Rfam family "Bacterial small subunit ribosomal RNA", at positions 524 to 776 of the family's 1533-position model. The record is from RNAcentral.